AAAAGAAACCAACAGGGAUUGCCCUAGUAACGGCGAGUGAAGCGGCAACAGCUCAAAUUUGAAAUCUGGCCUCCCUUGGGGGUCCGAGUUGUAAUUUGCAGAGGGUGCUUUGGCUUUGGCGGCGGUCUAAGUUCCUUGGAACAGGACAUCGCAGAGGGUGAGAAUCCCGUACGUGGGCGCCUGCCACUGCCGUGUAAAGCCCCUUCGACGAGUCGAGUUGUUUGGGAAUGCAGCUCUAAAUGGGAGGUAAAUUUCUUCUAAAGCUAAAUACCGGCCAGAGACCGAUAGCGCACAAGUAGAGUGAUCGAAAGAUGAAAAGUACUUUGGAAAGAGAGUAAAAUAGCACGUGAAAUUGUUGUAGAGGAAGCGCUUGCAGCCAGACUUCCCCGUAGUCGCUCACCCGGGCUCCUGCCCGGGGCACUCUUCUGCGGGGAGGCCAGCAUCAGUUUGGGCGGUCGGAUAAAGGCCUCUGUCACGUAUCUCCCUCCGGGGAGACCUUAUAGGGGAGGCGCAAUGCGACCAGCCCGGACUGAGGUCCGCGCAUCUGCCAGGAUGCUGGCGUAAUGGCUGUAAGCGGCCCGUCUUGAAACACGGACCAAGGAGUCUAACAUCUAUGCGAGUGUUUGGGUGUCAAGCCCGGGCGCGCAAUGAAAGUGAACGGAGGUGGGAACCCUCGGGUGCACCAUCGACCGAUCCUGAUGUCUUCGGAUGGAUUUGAGUAAGAGCAUAGCUGUUGGGACCCGAAAGAUGGUGAACUAUGCUUGAAUAGGGUGAAGCCAGAGGAAACUCUGGUGGAGGCUCGCAGCGGUUCUGACGUGCAAAUCGAUCGUCAA
This 833-nucleotide ribosomal RNA is filed under the name Spegazzinia musae. Its description in RNAcentral is "partial large subunit ribosomal RNA". It matches the Rfam family "Eukaryotic large subunit ribosomal RNA", at positions 57 to 908 of the family's 3401-position model. The record is from RNAcentral. Lineage: Eukaryota; Fungi; Ascomycota; Dothideomycetes; Pleosporales; Didymosphaeriaceae.